GAGCUUUAUUAAUGUUUUCAAGGAGAGAAUAAUAAUUUUCUACAAGAAAUCUGGUGAAUUUGAGAUUCUCAAGUCUAGAUGACAGCUGGAAUCAUCUUCUCUAAACAAUGCAUUGGCCCUCAGAUUUUCUAGUUGCAUGUGACCAAGAUUUGCUGUAAUAGACUACUCUUUGUUAUAUGAACUAACAAAUGAGUAUUGAGUCGGCCAGAUAGAACAGGUCUCUGAAAACUGAGACUACCUAGGAAAUGAAGAAAAAAUAUCUUAGUGUCUUCAACAUCAUUCUAUUGGCAGAAAUAAGACUCAUUUUCUGGAGAGAAUUUUAAAUGGGCCCUAUUCCUCUUUGAAACAUUUGAACAGACAUAAAACACAAUUCAUCAAUUUUCCUAUCAGAUCCUUUUAUUGCAGCAGAAAAUUGUUCCAAAUAAAUUCUCGUGAUAAAGCUUGUAAUAGUGAAUACAAUAGAAUGCUGAAAGUAUUGUGUGAACAGAAAUAAUAAAUAUGGUAUCCAAACCCAUUGUAAGUUUCAGUAAAUCAUAUCCAUCAACUCAUUUCUCUUGAAUAAAAGAGAACUGUGAUUUUAUUCCUCCCUAUGGAUGUUUUUCCACUGUUUGAUAGAAAAAAAGAAAACAUGCACUAAAAUUCAAGAAAAAGGCAUAAGCCAGUGAGGAAGAG
RNAcentral lists this long non-coding RNA (672 nucleotides) under Equus caballus (horse). Its description in RNAcentral is "lncRNA (ENSECAG00000058940.1)". Lineage: Eukaryota; Metazoa; Chordata; Mammalia; Perissodactyla; Equidae. The record is from RNAcentral.